This 599-nucleotide long non-coding RNA is filed under the name Ananas comosus (pineapple). RNAcentral describes it as "long non-coding RNA (ACOM_LNC014189)". The record is from RNAcentral. Lineage: Eukaryota; Viridiplantae; Streptophyta; Magnoliopsida; Poales; Bromeliaceae.
AAAAAAAAAAAAAAGAAAAAAAAAGAAGAAGAAUCUUAUACUACAACAGAAUUAGGUUAUAGGGACACAUGUUUGAGACACUUUUGAGUAAAUAUCUCAUUUAUGCUAAAACUUAAAAACACAUCUACUAAUGCCUAAAUAUAAAGCCCAAUCCAACCAAAAAUAAAAGAUUACUUUACUCAACCAACCACACCCAAUUCAUUUGGCCCGAUUAUAAACAGAAAAGAAAAAAAAAAAAAGAAAAAUCAAUUACCAUUUUUUCUUCUCUCUUCACUCAAUCCACUGAAAUUCUAGACGAAGAGCCUUUACUGUCGUCCUUCUCCGCCACCGCAGCCAACGAGAUAGAGUUUCGGCGGUUGCUAAAUGCUUAAAUAAGUGUUGGUAAAUUAACAGCACUCUUUUAGAUUAUACCGACACUCUUUAACUAUCACUAUAUACCUAACGACCCCACAUAUAGCAACACUUUUUAAAAGUGUCGGUAAUUUUAGCUAGCAACACUUUUUUGACAUGUACCUAUAUUUAAAAGGGUUGCUAUAGACCGUUUUUGUUGUAGUGUUAAAUGUACAGUGAAAAGUAGGAUGCAAAAUCUACACCUAUUC